UACGAAGGGGGCUAGCGUUGCUCGGAAUCACUGGGCGUAAAGCGCACGUAGGCGGAUCUUUAAGUCAGGGGUGAAAUCCUGGAGCUCAACUCCAGAACUGCCUUUGAUACUGAGGAUCUUGAGUCCGGGAGAGGUGAGUGGAACUCCGAGUGUAGAGGUGAAAUUCGUAGAUAUUCGGAAGAACACCAGUGGCGAAGGCGGCACACUGGCCCAUUACUGACGCUGAGGCUCGAAAGCGUGGGGAGCAAACAGG
Molecule: ribosomal RNA, 253 nt
Filed under: uncultured bacterium
Lineage: Bacteria
Description: partial 16S ribosomal RNA
Rfam family: Bacterial small subunit ribosomal RNA
Source: RNAcentral